GGAUUGGCUAGCUUCACUUAGCAUAAUCUGCUCUAAUGCCAUCCAUUUCCCUGCAAAUUCCAUGAUUUUGUCAUUUUUUAGUGCUGCGUAAUACUCCAUUGUGUAUAAAUGCCACAUUUUUUUUUUUAUCCAUUCAUCUAUUGAAGGGCAUCUGGGUUGGUUCCACAGUCUAGCUUUUGGGAAUUGUGCUGCUAUGAACAUCGAUGUGGCAGUAUCUCUAUA
Molecule: long non-coding RNA, 222 nt
Filed under: Marmota monax (woodchuck)
Lineage: Eukaryota; Metazoa; Chordata; Mammalia; Rodentia; Sciuridae
Source: RNAcentral